GAUGAAGAACGUAGCGAAAUGCGAUAAGUAAUGUGAAUUGCAGAAUUCCGUGAAUCAUCGAAUCUUUGAACGCACAUUGCGCCCCCUGGUAUUCCGGGGGGCAUGCCUGUGCGAGCGUCAUUGCAACCCUCAAGCGCGGCUUGUGUGUUGGGCUUCGUCCCCCCGUGGACGUGCCCGAAAGGCAGUGGCGGCGUCCCGAAUGGUGCCCGAGCGUAUGGGAACUCUCUUCCGCUCGAACCGGCCCAUUCGGCGCUGGUCGAACCCCAAUUUUUUUUUACCGGUUGACCUCGGAUCAGGUAGGGAUACCCGCUGAACUUAAGCAUAUCAAUAAGCGGAGGA
Molecule: unclassified non-coding RNA, 339 nt
Filed under: soil metagenome
Description: partial contains 5.8S ribosomal RNA, internal transcribed spacer 2, and large subunit ribosomal RNA
Rfam family: 5.8S ribosomal RNA (bases 1-120)
Source: RNAcentral